This is a long non-coding RNA of Brachypodium distachyon (stiff brome), 774 nucleotides long. RefSeq lists it as uncharacterized. The transcript has 4 exons. The record is from RefSeq and is a predicted model, not a curated record. Lineage: Eukaryota; Viridiplantae; Streptophyta; Magnoliopsida; Poales; Poaceae.
AGAUGAUGCAGGUCUCUAGCAGCACCUCAUGAAGCAAACCAAACCUAGAGAAGUCUUUUACUGUUGCUCUUUGUAGUAUGGCAGUUAAUAAAAUUUAGAAACUUUAGAACAUUGCCAAGUUCGUAAUCUGAAUUAGAAUGGUCAACCUCAUUUUUCUCUAUUUUAAUUUUGUGUUAUCAUAUUCUUUUUCAACACCUCAUCUGUGCAGAUUAUGGUUUAACUGACCUAUUGUUUGCCAUCUUUGUAUUAGACCUUGAUCACUUCUAUAUUAACCUUAGUACUAAUUGGGAUUUCAUUAUUCCUUGAAACCAUGUGUAGUUCAUACGAGUCUUGUAUAUGCUUGCUUUAAAUUCUACUCCAUGCACGGGAAUCAAGAUAAUUAAUUUGAUGAUUUCAGGGAGCACCAAAAAUAAUUGUUUCUCCAAAUCUCUAGAAGUUGUAGGUGCAGGGAUUAAGUGGAUGUGUUUGAUGGGCACAGACAGUCUGAUUUGAUACAGGACCAUAUUCGAGCUGACUUUCAAUGUUUAGUGUGGUGGAUGCAAUUCCAUGAUAGGGAAGAGAGUAAGUUUAUUACUGAAAAGAAACAAGUUGGAAAUUACUACUGCUCUACCAAGCUUUGAAGAUCCUGGGCACAUGGAAUUUUUAGAUGCUAUAAAAUCUAGCAACUUCAGCAAAAUCAGGCUUGAAUUAGUUCAUCUCAACAUCAAACAAACAGUGCACUGCAUCUUUGCCACUGAAUCUAGACACAAUUUUUUGCCAGCACCAUCUUUGAAG